This is a long non-coding RNA of Lynx canadensis (Canada lynx), 93 nucleotides long. RefSeq lists it as uncharacterized. NCBI's taxonomy places the organism in Eukaryota, Metazoa, Chordata, Mammalia, Carnivora, Felidae. The transcript has 3 exons. The record is from RefSeq and is a predicted model, not a curated record.
UGAAUAGACAUUUUUCUGAAGAAGACACACAAAUGACCAACAUGUACAUGAAAAGGUACCCAACAUCACUAAUAUUCAUCAGGGAAAAGCAAA